RNAcentral lists this ribosomal RNA (222 nucleotides) under uncultured bacterium. Its description in RNAcentral is "partial 16S ribosomal RNA". It matches the Rfam family "Bacterial small subunit ribosomal RNA", at positions 109 to 334 of the family's 1533-position model. The record is from RNAcentral.
AGUAAUGUAUGGGGAUCUGCCUGAUGGCGGGGGAUAACUACUGGAAACGGUAGCCAAUACCGCAUAAUGUCUGCGGACCAAAGCGGGGGACCUCCGGGCCUCGCGCCAUCAGAUGAACCCAUAUGGGAUUAGCUAGUAGGUAAGGUAACGGCUUACCUAGGCGACGAUCCCUAGCUGGUCUGAGAGGAUGAUCAGCCACACUGGGACUGAGACACGGCCCAG